CGACCUUAGCAUCACAAGCUAUUCUCUACAAUGUUAUGGAACGCAAAGGCGCAGUCACCCAUCCAGAGAGACCCACAGGAGCAACCAGGGUCAACCGUCCCGCCCAAGGGCACAUCGACAGAUCCACCACCCAGUCGACUUGGGGACCUAAACCAGUGACCUCCCCGCCACUGGGCCAAUGCUCUCAAACGCCAGGACACCCACUGCCCCCAAUCAUCCAAGAUAACCCCACAGUCCCCCCUGAAAAACCUCCCCCUACACGCCACCAUCCCCUUCCAACCCAACCAAAGAACCUACCCACCUGAUGCGCCAGGUCCACCCACUGGGGAGUCAAGCAUAGUCAAUCAGAAGGAUUUCUUCACCCACAAAAUGACUUUAUUACAAACAGAAACACUCUUCAGCAUCCCCCCCCCUCCUCAGAUGAUCCCACAGAUGAAGAAGACAGAUGUGGAAGUCCUGGGCUGGAUUGCUUACACAUGGUCUGCGUUGUGAGGCCGGUUGGAUUUAUUGCCAAAUUCUCUAAAGAGAAAUGAACAUUCAAUUCUCUGGCAACAGCGCUGUUGGACAUUCCUCCAGUUAGCAUGCUAAUUGCACACUCCCUCAAAACGUAAGACAUGUUAGGCAUUGUGUUGUGUGACAAAACUCUACAUGUUAGAGUGGCCUUUUAUCAACACAAGGUGCACCUGUGUAACGAUCAUGCUGUUUAAUCAGCUUCUUGAUAUGUCACACGUGUCAGGUGGAUGGAUUACCUUGGCAAAUGAGAAAUGCUCACUAACAGGGAUGUAAACAAUUUUGUGCACGUAAUUUGAGAGAAAUACGUUUUUUUUUGCAUAUGUAAAUGUCUGGGAUCUUUUAUUUCAGCUCAUGCAAAAGGGGACCAACACUUUGCUUGUUACGUUUAUAUUUUUGUUCAGUAGAAAAACAAAAGACUUCAAGGACAAUAAACAUGUAAACAGC
Long non-coding RNA from Oncorhynchus masou masou (cherry salmon), 957 nucleotides. RefSeq lists it as uncharacterized. NCBI's taxonomy places the organism in Eukaryota, Metazoa, Chordata, Actinopteri, Salmoniformes, Salmonidae. The transcript is spliced from 2 exons. The record is from RefSeq and is a predicted model, not a curated record.